This 1346-nucleotide ribosomal RNA is filed under the name uncultured bacterium. RNAcentral's name for it is "bacterial SSU rRNA". It matches the Rfam family "Bacterial small subunit ribosomal RNA", at positions 28 to 1381 of the family's 1533-position model. The record is from RNAcentral.
GACGAACGCUGGCGGCGUGCUUAACACAUGCAAGUCGAACGGAAAGGCCCUGCUUUUGUGGGGUGCUCGAGUGGCGAACGGGUGAGUAACACGUGAGUAACCUGCCCUUGACUUUGGGAUAACUUCAGGAAACUGGGGCUAAUACCGGAUAGGAGCUCCUGCUGCAUGGUGGGGGUUGGAAAGUUUCGGCGGUUGGGGAUGGACUCGCGGCUUAUCAGCUUGUUGGUGGGGUAGUGGCUUACCAAGGCUUUGACGGGUAGCCGGCCUGAGAGGGUGACCGGCCACAUUGGGACUGAGAUACGGCCCAGACUCCUACGGGAGGCAGCAGUGGGGAAUAUUGCACAAUGGGCGGAAGCCUGAUGCAGCAACGCCGCGUGCGGGAUGACGGCCUUCGGGUUGUAAACCGCUUUCGCCCGUGACGAAGCGUGAGUGACGGUAAUGGGUAAAGAAGCACCGGCUAACUACGUGCCAGCAGCCGCGGUGAUACGUAGGGUGCGAGCGUUGUCCGGAUUUAUUGGGCGUAAAGGGCUCGUAGGUGGUUGAUCGCGUCGGAAGUGUAAUCUUGGGGCUUAACCCUGAGCGUGCUUUCGAUACGGGUUGACUUGAGGAAGGUAGGGGAGAAUGGAAUUCCUGGUGGAGCGGUGGAAUGCGCAGAUAUCAGGAGGAACACCAGUGGCGAAGGCGGUUCUCUGGGCCUUUCCUGACGCUGAGGAGCGAAAGCGUGGGGAGCGAACAGGCUUAGAUACCCUGGUAGUCCACGCUGUAAACGGUGGGUACUAGGUGUGGGGUCCAUUCCACGGGUUCCGUGCCGUAGCUAACGCUUUAAGUACCCCGCCUGGGGAGUACGGCCGCAAGGCUAAAACUCAAAGGAAUUGACGGGGCCCCGCACAAGCGGCGGAGCAUGCGGAUUAAUUCGAUGCAACGCGUAGAACCUUACCUGGGUUUGACAUGGAUCGGGAGCGCUCAGAGAUGGGUGUGCCUCUUUUGGGGUCGGUUCACAGGUGGUGCAUGGCUGUCGUCAGCUCGUGUCGUGAGAUGUUGGGUUAAGUCCCGCAACGAGCGCAACCCUUGUUCACUGUUGCCAGCACGUUAUGGUGGGGACUCAGUGGAGACCGCCGGGGUCAACUCGGAGGAAGGUGGGGAUGACGUCAAGUCAUCAUGCCCCUUAUGUCCAGGGCUUCACGCAUGCUACAAUGGCUGGUACAGAGAGUGGCGAGCCUGUGAGGGUGAGCGAAUCUCGGAAAGCCGGUCUCAGUUCGGAUUGGGGUCUGCAACUCGACCUCAUGAAGUCGGAGUCGCUAGUAAUCGCAGAUCAGCAACGCUGCGGUGAAUACGUUCCCGGGGCU